GGGGAAUUUUGGACAAUGGGCGCAAGCCUGAUCCAGCCAUGCCGCGUGUCUGAAGAAGGCCUUCGGGUUGUAAAGGACUUUUGUCAGGGAAGAAAAGACUGUUGCCAAUAUCGACAGCUGAUGACGGUACCUGAAGAAUAAGCACCGGCUAACUACGUGCCAGCAGCCGCGGUAAUACGUAGGGUGCGAGCGUUAAUCGGAAUUACUGGGCGUAAAGCGAGCGCAGACGGUUACUUAAGCAGGAUGUGAAAUCCCCGGGCUCAACCUGGGAACUGCGUUCUGAACUGGGUAACUAGAGUGUGUCAGAGGGAGGUAGAAUUCCACGUGUAGCAGUGAAAUGCGUAGAGAUGUGGAGGAAUACCGAUGGCGAAGGCAGCCUCCUGGGAUAACACUGACGUUCAUGCUCGAAAGCGUGGGUAGCAAACAGGAUUAGAUACCCUGGUAGUCCACGCCCUAAACGAUGUCAAUUAGCUGUUGGGCAACUUGAUUGCUUAGUAGCGUAGCUAACGCGUGAAAUUGACCGCCUGGGGAGUACGGUCGCAAGAUUA
Molecule: ribosomal RNA, 548 nt
Filed under: uncultured bacterium
Lineage: Bacteria
Description: bacterial SSU rRNA
Rfam family: Bacterial small subunit ribosomal RNA
Source: RNAcentral